CUAUUAUCGAUGAAGGAUCGAGUACUUUGAUUUUCCCCCUUAAAAGAGAGAACUGCCAUGGCUGAAAGCAGUGAAGGAGCAAACAAAGGAAAGACAAUCUGGAGAUGAACAGAAGCAAAGCUGUUCCGUGACCGAGCGUUAAUCGUGAUGAGGAGAAAGCAAUUUCUCGAAUUUAGGUGGUACCGCGUGUGAUAACUCGCCCUUGUG
Molecule: non-coding RNA, 207 nt
Filed under: Enterococcus sp.
Lineage: Bacteria; Bacillati; Bacillota; Bacilli; Lactobacillales; Enterococcaceae
Description: T-box sequence
Rfam family: T-box leader
About the family: Uncharged tRNA acts as the effector for transcription antitermination of genes in the T-box leader family. T-boxes are found upstream of many aminoacyl-tRNA synthetase genes and some amino acid biosynthetic genes usually in Gram-positive bacteria.
Source: RNAcentral